RNAcentral lists this ribosomal RNA (440 nucleotides) under uncultured bacterium. RNAcentral describes it as "partial 16S ribosomal RNA". It matches the Rfam family "Bacterial small subunit ribosomal RNA", at positions 338 to 795 of the family's 1533-position model. The record is from RNAcentral.
CCUACGGGAGGCAGCAGUGGGGAAUAUUGCACAAUGGGGGAAACCCUGAUGCAGCGACGCCGCGUGAGUGAAGAAGUAAUUCGUUAUGUAAAGCUCUAUCAGCAGGGAAGAAAAUGACGGUACCUGAGUAAGAAGCCCCGGCUAACUACGUGCCAGCAGCCGCGGUAAUACGUAGGGGGCAAGCGUUAUCCGGAUUUACUGGGUGUAAAGUGAGCGUAGACGGCAGUGCAAGUCUGGAGUUAAAGGCGGGGGCUCAACCCCCGGACUGCUCUGGAAACUGUACGGCUGGAGUGCAGGAGAGGUAAGUGGAAUUCCUAGUGUAGCGGUGAAAUGCGUAGAUAUUAGGAGGAACACCAGUGGCGAAGGCGGCUUACUGGACUGUAACUGACGUUGAGGCUCGAAAGCGUGGGGAGCAAACAGGAUUAGAUACCCUAGUAGUC